Molecule: RNA transcript, 1746 nt
Organism: Mesoplodon densirostris (Blainville's beaked whale)
Lineage: Eukaryota; Metazoa; Chordata; Mammalia; Artiodactyla; Ziphiidae
Gene: DPYS
Gene name: dihydropyrimidinase
Exons: 11
Source: RefSeq, a predicted model, not a curated record
GCCCGGGCGUCCUCCCCGUGCACCUGGAAGGAGGGCGGCCCGCAGCGCGUGCGGCCCUCGCCAUGGCGGCGCCGUCGCGGCUCCUGAUCCGCGGGGGGCGCGUGGUCAACGAAGACUCCUCGCAGGUGGCCGACGUGCUGGUGGAGGACGGCGUGGUGCGGGCGCUAGGGCGCGACCUGCUGCCGCCUGGGGACGCGCCGGCCGGGCUGCGGGUCCUAGACGCCGCCGGUAAGCUGGUCUUGCCCGGCGGCAUCGACACGCACACGCACAUGCAGUUCCCCUUCAUGGGCUCGCGGUCCGUGGACGACUUCUACCAGGGCACCAAGGCUGCCCUGGCAGGAGGCACCACCAUGAUCAUUGAUUUUGCCAUUCCUCACAAAGGCCACUCCCUCAUCGAGGCCUUCGAGACCUGGCGAAGCUGGGCUGAUCCCAAAGUCUGCUGUGACUACAGCCUUCAUGUGGCGGUGACAUGGUGGAGUGAGCAGGUUAAAGAAGAAAUGAAAAUCCUUACCCAAGAUAAAGGUGUGAACUCCUUCAAGGUGUUUAUGGCCUAUAAAGAUCUGUACAUGCUGAGAGAUGUGGAGCUGUACAAGGUCUUCUCUCAGUGCAAGGAAAUUGGAGCAAUUGCUCAAGUUCAUGCAGAAAAUGGAGACCUAAUUGCAGAGGGAGCAAAGAAGAUGUUGGCUUUGGGGAUAACGGGUCCCGAGGGCCAUGAGCUGGGCCGCCCAGAAGCGGUGGAGGCAGAAGCCACGCUGAGAGCCAUAACCAUAGCCGGCGCCGUGAACUGCCCUCUGUGCGUCGUGCACGUGAUGAGCAAGUCCGCAGCAAGGGUGAUAGCAGAUGCCAGGAGAGAUGGGAAAGUGGUCUGUGGAGAGCCCAUCGCAGCAGGUCUCGGCACAGAUGGUACUCACUACUGGAAUAGAGAAUGGCUCCAUGCAGCCCAUCACGUUAUGGGGCCACCCCUACGACCGGACCCUUCAACGCCUGACUUCCUCAUGAAUCUGUUGGCUAAUGGUGAUCUAACCAUAACAGGGUCUGACCACUGCACUUUCAACACCUGCCAGAAAGCUCUUGGGAAGGAUGAUUUUACUAAGAUUCCCAAUGGAGUGAAUGGCGUUGAGGACCGGAUGUCAGUAAUAUGGGAAAAAGGCGUGCACAAUGGCAAAAUAGAUGAAAACUGGUUUGUGGCAGUUACCAGCACAAAUGCAGCUAAACUCUUUAAUCUGUAUCCAAGAAAAGGAAGAAUAGCUGUGGGCUCAGAUGCUGACAUAGUGAUUUGGGACCCAAAAGCCACAAGGACCAUUUCGGCAAAAACUCAUCAUCAGGCUGUUAACUUCAACAUCUUCGAGGGCAUGGUGUGCCAUGGGGUGCCCCUGGUGACUAUUUCAAGAGGCAAAGUGGUGUAUGAAGCUGGAGUUUUCAAUGUCACAGCAGGAGACGGGAAGUUUAUUCCUCGUAAACCAUUUGCUGAAUAUAUUUACAAACGGAUCAAGCAGCAGGACCAGGUAGGCCAGAUCCAGUUUGCUGCUUCUGCAUUGCAUCAUGUCCUACAUCAACUCAUGGAUUUCUGAAAAGCCUUCCUACAUUUCAGGUCCCUCACAAGCAGCAACUGACCAAGAAGUCACUUCCUGAGCUGAAGGUCAGUGUGUUGGCCCUGGAAUGAGCAUCAGUUCAUCAUCGAGCACAAGAAUAUAAACUCCUGACGUCAACCUCGACCACAGCUGUGUCCACGGAGCCCAGAACGGU